Molecule: ribosomal RNA, 253 nt
Filed under: uncultured bacterium
Lineage: Bacteria
Description: partial 16S ribosomal RNA
Rfam family: Bacterial small subunit ribosomal RNA
Source: RNAcentral
UACGUAGGCAGCGAGCGUUGUUCGGAAUUACUGGGCGUAAAGGGCGCGUAGGCGGCGAUCCGAGUCAGAUGUGAAGGUCCUGGGCUUAACCUGGGGACUGCGUUUGAUACGUGCGGGCUUGAGUUCGGAAGAGGGUCGUGGAAUUCCCAGUGUAGAGGUGAAAUUCGUAGAUAUUGGGAAGAACACCGGUGGCGAAGGCGGCGACCUGGUCCGAUACUGACGCUGAGGCGCGAAAGCGUGGGGAGCAAACAGG